RNAcentral lists this ribosomal RNA (696 nucleotides) under Microbacterium sp. RNAcentral describes it as "bacterial SSU rRNA". It matches the Rfam family "Bacterial small subunit ribosomal RNA", at positions 302 to 1015 of the family's 1533-position model. The record is from RNAcentral. Lineage: Bacteria; Bacillati; Actinomycetota; Actinomycetes; Micrococcales; Microbacteriaceae.
GCCCUUCGACAGCCAGCAGCGCCUACUCCUAACCGGAGGCAGCAGUGGGGAAUAUUGCACAAUGGGCGGAAGCCUGAUGCAGCAACGCCGCGUGAGGGAUGACGGCCUUCGGGUUGUAAACCUCUUUUAGCAGGGAAGAAGCGAAAGUGACGGUACCUGCAGAAAAAGCACCGGCUAACUACGUGCCAGCAGCCGCGGUAAUACGUAGGGUGCAAGCGUUAUCCGGAAUUAUUGGGCGUAAAGAGCUCGUAGGCGGUCUGUCGCGUCUGCUGUGAAAUUCCGAGGCUCAACCUCGGGCUUGCAGUGGGUACGGGCAGACUAGAGUGCGGUAGGGGAGAUUGGAAUUCCUGGUGUAGCGGUGGAAUGCGCAGAUAUCAGGAGGAACACCGAUGGCGAAGGCAGAUCUCUGGGCCGUAACUGACGCUGAGGAGCGAAAGGGUGGGGAGCAAACAGGCUUAGAUACCCUGGUAGUCCACCCCGUAAACGUUGGGAACUAGUUGUGGGGUCCUUUCCACGGAUUCCGUGACGCAGCUAACGCAUUAAGUUCCCCGCCUGGGGAGUACGGCCGCAAGGCUAAAACUCAAAGGAAUUGACGGGGACCCGCACAAGCGGCGGAGCAUGCGGAUUAAUUCGAUGCAACGCGAAGAACCUUACCAAGGCUUGACAUACACGAGAACGGGCCAGACAUGGUCAAGC